AUGGAGUGGUCUGGGCAAUGCAUCGUUUUUGUUAUUUACCAUUCAAACUGCCUGAGGAUGCAGAGAGACGUAUCAGGAAUGAUCGAAAGAGAACCAAGGGCAUGUCACUUCUCCAGAUCCUCAGGAGGAUUCUUGACCACGGAGCCACCAGAGAAGCUGGAAACGCCUGUAGCUAAGGGCUAUCUUUUCUCUGACAUCUAUGUUCUCACCUGAUUUUCUGAAUAUCACCAGAUGGGGCAUAAUCAUAAUGAUGAACAUUUAUGAAGAACAUAUUCUGGAGACAAUGUAUCAUUCAUGAUUACUUCUUUCAAUUCUCAUUGACUGUUAUUAUACCCAUUGUGCAGAUAAGGAAACUGAAGCCACAAAAACUAAAUAGAAGCUAGAGAAAUGCUCUGGACUAGCCAUAAGACUCUAGAGGAUUGUGCUGCCUUAAUUGCCCUGACUUGAAUUGUAUAUCUUUGUACCUGAAGACAGGACUUGGCUUAGCUGCUUGGAAUCAAGAUAACCUGCUCCAUAUUAGACUU
RNAcentral lists this long non-coding RNA (524 nucleotides) under Capra hircus (goat). RNAcentral's name for it is "lncRNA (ENSCHIG00010029876.1)". The record is from RNAcentral. Lineage: Eukaryota; Metazoa; Chordata; Mammalia; Artiodactyla; Bovidae.